This 77-nucleotide transfer RNA is filed under the name Candidatus Omnitrophota bacterium. RNAcentral describes it as "tRNA-Ile". It matches the Rfam family "tRNA". Rfam says of the family: Transfer RNA (tRNA) molecules are approximately 80 nucleotides in length. Lineage: Bacteria; Pseudomonadati; Candidatus Omnitrophota. The record is from RNAcentral.
GGGCCCAUAGCUCAAUCGGUUAGAGCGGUUGACUCAUAAUCAAUAGGUUCUAGGUUCAAGUCCUAGUGGGCCCACCA